Drosophila simulans is the source of this 1070-nucleotide long non-coding RNA. RefSeq lists it as uncharacterized. The transcript is spliced from 3 exons. NCBI's taxonomy places the organism in Eukaryota, Metazoa, Arthropoda, Insecta, Diptera, Drosophilidae. The record is from RefSeq and is a predicted model, not a curated record.
GCGAAGCUUUCGAGAACGUAAAUACACUAACAAAACCGAAAGUGAUCAGCAAUUGGCACUAGAAAUAGAACGAUAUCAAAAUUAGACUGCAGGAAGUCAAUAAAUCUUGAAGUCUUUAAAGUGACCCAAAGCGGAAAAUUCAAAUAUCAGCACUUACCAUCAAUAUCAAGUAGACCUUCCGGAUAAAACCUUUCCGGAUGCUCUGGUCAUCGAAGGCGAAGCUCUUGUCCGCUUCCGCAUCUGUGUAUGCGCCAGUUUCAUCGCCUGCGUGGUUGGAAGACAAUUCAAGGAAGCAGGAAAAUUAAUGCAAUGACUAACCGUACUGAAAAUGAUUGUCGCUGCUCAUGGUUAAAUUGCUAUGACUAAACUUUAGUCACUUAAGUUACUAUGCUCUCUUUGGCCGACUGCCGGCAGCGUGCUAGUGUUUCAGCUUAAUGGAACCGAAUCGCCCUUUCUAGGUGUUCCCAUAUGGACGUAUGAGUUGAGAUUAGCCGGUUACCGGCUCUUAUCACAGCCCCACACUUCUACUCUAGAUAAGAUUUGUGUAUUGAUGUCGCUGUCUUAUCAGAUGAAAAUGCGCCGAGAGAGAUAUAUUUUUUCGACUCUUACGGAGAGGAAACGAUGCAGUCAAUAAGCUUUCUACAAUAGCCAAAUCGAUUAUCUAAUCUAGAGCACCUUUCCGCAGCCAAUUUGGUUUCGGUUCAGCCCAAUCCGGGCGAUACUUGCCUUGCUGGUAGUGAUACAUUUUAUAGCUACGCCCUGCUGGAAUUCACACGAACUACUGAACAGGUGGCCGGGUCAAACGCAUGAUAUGGGGCCAACCCGAAAUUAAAACACCCGGACUUCUUUCUGUGGUGGUGCAGAUAACAAAGUUAACUUAAGCAAUGAUAAAGCAAAAAUGCAGACGAUAAUGGUCUGGAGUCCAGAAGUAAUCCAACCACCGGCGUCGCUCUGCCGUCGCAGACUAAAGUUGCAUCUGGCGGUGGUGGCUGGCUGGUUGAACUGGAUGAACCACUGACGGAAGCCCCACAAUGCAGGGGUCUGUGGCUUUAAUAAAUAGAUGCGCUUUA